GACUUCUGACCAGUACCUUUCCUUUUAUCAGUCUUCCUAGAUGCACACACCUCUCACUUCCCGACUCUCCCUGGCUCCUGCUUGUUGCUUCCUUACUGCUGGUGCUUGGAUCUGUUCCAUCAAUGCUGCAAUUUCAGACCUGCUGAGGAGGUUUGCAUUAACUUCAGAAUCAAGAAAGCAAAGAGUUCCAGGUCCAGUGUUUAUAAGAUGCACUGUCACAUCUGAAAAAACUUUGAGGCUCAGAGUCUCUCAGCAGUAGGAGUACCAAGAUCCUUUGCAAGUUCAGUAUCUGGAGUAACUUUCAGCUGUAUCUUGAUAGUUGACAACUAACCUGUAUGUCCUAGAAAUACACUCUGGAUUUUUAAGAUCUCACCUCUGCUCCCUCUGUAUUGAGUUCCAGGAACAAAUAACAAAAGUGACCUGGCCAGAGAUCAGUAUGCUUCAUGACACAGAAACUAGUUUUUGACACAUGCAAACAAACACUAAAAAAGAAGAAAAAAACAAAA
This is a long non-coding RNA of Tympanuchus pallidicinctus (lesser prairie-chicken), 506 nucleotides long. RefSeq lists it as uncharacterized. The transcript is spliced from 2 exons. NCBI's taxonomy places the organism in Eukaryota, Metazoa, Chordata, Aves, Galliformes, Phasianidae. The record is from RefSeq and is a predicted model, not a curated record.